Molecule: ribosomal RNA, 646 nt
Filed under: Salmonella enterica
Lineage: Bacteria; Pseudomonadati; Pseudomonadota; Gammaproteobacteria; Enterobacterales; Enterobacteriaceae
Description: partial 23S ribosomal RNA
Rfam family: Bacterial large subunit ribosomal RNA
Source: RNAcentral
GGGUUGUGAGGUUAAUCGACUAAGCGUACACGGUGGAUGCCCUGGCAGUCAGAGGCGAUGAAGGGCGUGCUAAUCUGCGAUAAGCGCCGGUAAGGUGAUAUGAACCGUUAUAACCGGCGAUACCCGAAUGGGGAAACCCAGUGUGACUCGUCACACUAUCAUUAACUGAAUCCAUAGGUUAAUGAGGCGAACCGGGGGAACUGAAACAUCUAAGUACCCCGAGGAAAAGAAAUCAACCGAGAUUCCCCCAGUAGCGGCGAGCGAACGGGGAGGAGCCCAGAGCCUGAAUCAGCAUGUGUGUUAGUGGAAGCGUCUGGAAAGGCGCGCGAUACAGGGUGACAGCCCCGUACACAAAAGCGCAUGUGCUGUGAGCUCGAUGAGUAGGGCGGGACACGUGGUAUCCUGUCUGAAUAUGGGGGGACCAUCCUCCAAGGCUAAAUACUCCUGACUGACCGAUAGUGAACCAGUACCGUGAGGGAAAGGCGAAAAGAACCCCGGCGAGGGGAGUGAAAAAGAACCUGAAACCGUGUACGUACAAGCAGUGGGAGCACAGGUUUACCUGUGUGACUGCGUACCUUUUGUAUAAUGGGUCAGCGACUUAUAUUCUGUAGCAAGGUUAACCGAAUAGGGGAGCCGGAGGGAAACC